UCUCAGUCACUUCACAUCUCUAUCAACAUGCUGCUCUCUAUCCUUUCUCUCCUAGCACUGCUUUUAGGAGACACAUCAGCACAGACAGUUGUACCACUGGAAAGAGAAAUUCAUGUUUCAGAGGGUGAUGAAGUAACUCUGUCCUGCAACUACAGUACGAGUGAUACUAAUGAUGUUCUUCAGUGGUAUCGUCAGUUUCCCAGAUCCAGACCAGAGUUUCUCCUGUAUAUUAACCUGCAAGGGUUUAAGAGUGAUCCUCCUCCUGGAAUGUCUGUUGAACUUCAUCAAGACAAGCGUGUGGAUCUGUUGAUCUCCUCUGCUGCAGUAUCAGACUCUGCACUCUACUACUGUGCCUUGAGGCCCACAAUGGCAGGAAACCCGGCUACACUGUACAAAAACCCCUUAUUAUACUCCUUACAAUACACAACUUUAAACAUUAGAUACUGUACAAAGCCUGUGAAUUAAUAAUGCUAUUUUUCUUAAAAUAUAUCUACAGA
Non-coding RNA from Colossoma macropomum (tambaqui), 497 nucleotides. The record is from the annotation of a RefSeq genome assembly. Lineage: Eukaryota; Metazoa; Chordata; Actinopteri; Characiformes; Serrasalmidae.